This 1072-nucleotide long non-coding RNA is filed under the name Struthio camelus australis. Its description in RNAcentral is "lncRNA (ENSSCUG00000017461.1)". Lineage: Eukaryota; Metazoa; Chordata; Aves; Struthioniformes; Struthionidae. The record is from RNAcentral.
UCUACAAUCAUUAAAGUUGGGCUGGCAUAGAAAGGAAUGCAAUAUAUGCCCUGCUGAAGACUAUAAAGGACUAUGUCAAUGUGUUACUGGGUCAAUGCAUCUGAACGCAAGUUCACUGCUUCAGGUGCAAUGCCUACAGGAUUUGACCCCAGAGAAAAGGGACUCCAUACUCUUUACUACAGACGUUUCUAGAAGGCACAGGCUAAUUUCAAGUUCGACGUGUCAAGGCACGGAAGAAUCAUUGACACAGCAGGUGCACUUAAAUAUAACUAUCUAAUUAUACACUGACGCAAGUUUGCUCCCAAGAAACUAAAUGUACAUUGCCAUGGAAAACAUGUAUCUGCCUGUCAUGCUUUUGAAUAGCAUAUGGCCAAGGAGGAGAAGAGGAGAACAACCUAGUCAUCUUUAAAAGGCCAGUGUUGUGCAAGGCAGAAUCCUUCUGAAGACCAAAGGCAAAUUUAGGGAGUGCUGUUUCUCUGGAAGAGAGCAGUGCAGUGCUCUUCACAGCCUGCUGAUUCUGGCCAUGACCCUCAGAAGGCCUAAUCACCUCCUUACCUGAAACCUCGCGGUGUUUGCAGCACCUGCGGCUCUCCAGCAAGGGAACAUGAAUGUUACAUUCAGGAAGGAUUUUGAGAAUAUAUUAACAGGUAUAACGUAUCUUCCUAUUGGGCUUCCGUUCUUUCUUUAUGAUUUAGUUUGGUCCACAAUAGCAUGGGAAACACCAUGUGAAAAGGCUUUAUAUGCAAGCACUAUCUAGUCCUGAAGGGUUGUGCUUGUUCAUAGUUGGGGUUUGGCAUUUUGAUUGGUGCUUUUUAUUUUAUGUUUGAAAUAGGAAAUGAAAGAAACUAUGAAUAUGAAUAGUUUGCUGGCAGCAGAAACAGGUUGCACAGAGUCUCCAGAUAUGGAAAGCUUAUCUCCUGGAAUUUUAAAAACUGAACUUCAGACCAAAGCAGUUCAAAGGAGUUUCAGUUCCUUAAGGACUGUGCUGUUCCUGAUCCUUAAAUUAAAAUGCAGAAAGGGUAAUGGUGAGCUGAAGAGAAAGCAUAAUAACAAUUGCCAUAUCUAUAUUUGA